RNAcentral lists this ribosomal RNA (1259 nucleotides) under metagenome. RNAcentral describes it as "bacterial SSU rRNA". It matches the Rfam family "Bacterial small subunit ribosomal RNA", at positions 8 to 1264 of the family's 1533-position model. The record is from RNAcentral.
AGAGUUUGAUCCUGGCUCAGAACGAACGCUGGCGGCAUGCUUAACACAUGCAAGUCGAACGGGAAAGUCCUUCGGGAUGAGUAGAGUGGCGCACGGGUGAGUAACGCAUGGGAACGUACCUUUUGGUUGGGAAUAACCACGGGAAACUGUGGCUAAUACCGGAUAGCCUCGCAAGAGUAAAGAUAGCCUCUGCUUGCAUGCUUUCGCCAAGAGAUCGGCCCAUGUCCCAUUAGCUUGUUGGUGAGGUAAAAGCUCACCAAGGCGACGAUGGGUAGCUGGUCUGAGAGGAUGAUCAGCCACACUGGAACUGAGAUACGGUCCAGACUCCUACGGGAGGCAGCAGUGGGGAAUAUUGCACAAUGGGCGCAAGCCUGAUGCAGCAAUGCCGCGUGGGUGAAGAAGGCCCUUGGGUCGUAAAGCCCUUUCGAUAGAGAAGAAGGUGUAGAGGUGAAUAGCCAUCUAUGUUGACGGUAUCUAGAGAAGAAGCACCGGCUAAUUUCGUGCCAGCAGCCGCGGUAAUACGAAAGGUGCAAGCGUUGUUCGGAAUUAUUGGGCGUAAAGCGCAAGCAGGCGGGUCUGUAUGUCGAUUGUGAAAUCCCUGGGCUUAACCCGGGGGCGCCAGUCGAAACUGCAGAUCUUGAAUACCUGAGAGGGUGGGGGAAUUCCUGGUGGAGAAGUGAAAUUCGUAGAGAUCAGGAGGAACACCAGAGGCGUAGGCUCCUACCUGGCAGGAUAUUGACGCUCAGUUGCGAAAGCGUGGGGAGCAAACAGGAUUAGAUACCCUGGUAGUCCACGCCAUAAACGAUGGUUACUAGGUGUUCGGUGGACUAACCCGCUGAGUACCAAAGCUCACGCAUUAAGUAACCCGCCUGGGGAGUACGGUCGCAAGGCUAAAACUCAAAGGAAUUGACGGGGGCCCGCACAAGCGGUGGAGUAUGUGGUUUAAUUCGAAGCAACGCGAAGAACCUUACCUGGCCUUGACAUCCCAGGACCGGUGCAGAGAUGCAUCUUUCCCUUCGGGGACCUGGAGACAGGUGCUGCAUGGCUGUCGUCAGCUCGUGUUGUGAAAUGUUAGGUUAAGUCCUGCAACGAGCGCAACCCCUGUCCUUAGUUACCAUCAUUAAGUUGGGGACUUUAGGGAGACUGCCGGUGUUAAACCGGAGGAAGGCGGGGAUGACGUCAAGUCCUCAUGGCCCUUACGGCCAGGGCUACACACGUACUACAAUGGCAGAAACAAACUGUUGCGAGACCGAAAGGUG